Molecule: ribosomal RNA, 1349 nt
Filed under: Paenibacillus odorifer
Lineage: Bacteria; Bacillati; Bacillota; Bacilli; Caryophanales; Paenibacillaceae
Description: bacterial LSU rRNA
Rfam family: Bacterial large subunit ribosomal RNA
Source: RNAcentral
CGAAAAUUGUAGUAGCGAAGGUCAUGAUCUCACACUGCCAAGAAAAGCCUCUAGCCAGGAGAAGGUGCCCGUACCGCAAACCGACACAGGUAGGCGAGAAGAGAAUUCUAAGGCGCGCGGAAGAACUCUCGUUAAGGAACUCGGCAAAAUGACCCCGUAACUUCGGGAGAAGGGGUGCCCCGGUAGUGUGAAUAGCACGAGGGGGCCGCAGUGAAAAGGCCCAAGCGACUGUUUAGCAAAAACACAGGUCUGUGCGAAGCCGCAAGGCGAAGUAUACGGGCUGACGCCUGCCCGGUGCUGGAAGGUUAAGGGGAGUGGUUAGGGGUAACCCGAAGCUAUGAACCGAAGCCCCAGUAAACGGCGGCCGUAACUAUAACGGUCCUAAGGUAGCGAAAUUCCUUGUCAGGUAAAUUCUGACCCGCACGAAUGGCGUAACGACUUGGGCGCUGUCUCAACGAGAGAUCCGGUGAAAUUUUAAUACCUGUGAAGAUGCAGGUUACCCGCGACAAGACGGAAAGACCCCAUGGAGCUUUACUGCAGCUUGAUAUUGAAUUUGGGUACGAUCUGUACAGGAUAGGUGGGAGCCGUAGAAAUCGGAGCGCAAGCUUCGGUGGAGGCGCCGUUGGGAUACCACCCUGAUCGUAUCUAGGUUCUAACCUAGUACCCUUACCGGGUACGGGGACCGUGUCAGGCGGGCAGUUUGACUGGGGCGGUCGCCUCCUAAAGAGUAACGGAGGCGUUCCAAGGUUCCCUCAGAAUGGUUGGAAAUCAUUCGCAGAGUGCAAAGGCAUAAGGGAGCUUGACUGCGAGACCUACAAGUCGAGCAGGGACGAAAGUCGGACUUAGUGAUCCGGUGGUACCGCAUGGAAGGGCCAUCGCUCAACGGAUAAAAGCUACCCUGGGGAUAACAGGCUUAUCUCCCCCAAGAGUCCACAUCGACGGGGAGGUUUGGCACCUCGAUGUCGGCUCAUCGCAUCCUGGGGCUGAAGUAGGUCCCAAGGGUUGGGCUGUUCGCCCAUUAAAGCGGUACGCGAGCUGGGUUCAGAACGUCGUGAGACAGUUCGGUCCCUAUCUGUCGUGGGCGCAGGAAAUUUGAGAGGAGCUGUCCUUAGUACGAGAGGACCGGGAUGGACGUACCGCUGGUGCACCAGUUGUUCCGCCAGGAGCAUGGCUGGGUAGCUACGUACGGACGGGAUAAGCGCUGAAAGCAUCUAAGCGUGAAGCCCCCCUCAAGAUGAGAUUUCCCAAUUAGUAAGACCCCUUGAAGACGACGAGGUAGAUAGGUUGGAGGUGGAAGUGCAGCAAUGCAUGGAGCUGACCAAUACUAAUCGGUCGAGGGCUUAUCCUAU